Molecule: ribosomal RNA, 162 nt
Filed under: Pilea microphylla
Lineage: Eukaryota; Viridiplantae; Streptophyta; Magnoliopsida; Rosales; Urticaceae
Description: 5.8S ribosomal RNA
Rfam family: 5.8S ribosomal RNA
About the family: 5.8S ribosomal RNA (5.8S rRNA) is a component of the large subunit of the eukaryotic ribosome. It is transcribed by RNA polymerase I as part of the 45S precursor that also contains 18S and 28S rRNA.
Source: RNAcentral
AAAACGACUCUCGGCAACGGAUAUCUCGGCUCUCGCAUCGAUGAAGAACGUAGCGAAAUGCGAUACGUGGUGUGGAUUGCAGAAUUCCGUGAAUCAUCGAGUUUUUGAACGCAAGUUGCGCCCAAAGCCAUUUGGUUGAGGGCACGCCUGCUUGGGCGUCAC